Molecule: long non-coding RNA, 1228 nt
Organism: Megalobrama amblycephala (Wuchang bream)
Lineage: Eukaryota; Metazoa; Chordata; Actinopteri; Cypriniformes; Xenocyprididae
Exons: 4
Source: RefSeq, a predicted model, not a curated record
GCUAGUUUAUGUAGUGUUAAUUAUGCCUAUAAUUAUUUAUUUUUCUUCUUCUCAGGUUAAAGUUUGGGAAAAAAGAAACCUAACGGCACAAACACACCCACGCACGCGCGAGUUGAUGUCAGGCGGCAGCUGCGGAAUCCUGGAGCUCCUCGCGCACAGUAAAUCUCACGUCACUGAUCGGAGGACACGUUACACUACCGCUCUCUGGCAGCGUCGAGUCAAACGCCGCUCUGUUUUCACUGUCGGGAGGCCUCCGGCUGCAUAUUUCUGUAAUUAGGCUUUUAUGCUCAGCAGUUCUGCAGCUGUGCUGACAUUUGGGUGUCGCCCCCCUGUUUCUCACGGUCCCUCUGCCAAUGCUGCUCGGCCGCUGGUCACCGGCCAAGACUGAGGUCCAUGUGUCAGAAUGAAGGGUAGCAUCUACACACUCCCAAAUGAGGAGCGUUUCAAAGCAUUUCUCCAGACGCACAGGAAGGUAGUUUGCACACAGCGGACUAUCAGAGAUGACCUGAUUAAAUAGAGUGGCCAAUAUCUGAGCAAGGUGCAGAGGUCUAUGGGGUGAGAAGGACUGUGGGAUACAUGUGCACUACAGUGAAAGUUAGUGUGCAUGUUCACACUUGUUCUAUAGGCCAGAUUGCAGACAUGUGCCAGAAUGAUGCCCAGCCUCACAGGCGACUGAACAGACAGAACACAUCACUCUGCUGGGAUCUGGCAGGCCUGCAAUAGCCCAGCAAUGAAUAUAUGGGCUAUUGAGUCCAGCCACACAAUGGCCACAGCUGAUGCGGUUGCCACAGAGACACGCCCACACAAAGCCCAGGAAUGAUGACAUAUGGUCCCAACCUGCCUGGUCAGAAGACCCCCAAUAGCCCUGACUGCAUUGGAUGACAAAACCCUCAAGCAGGCCAUUUAUCUGUGCCUACUCAUUUCAUGCUAAAAUAAACUUUUUAUAAAGUUUCUACAGCCCAUGCACAACGAGUAAAACAGAGGCCCCAAAGGCACCAUGUAAAGUGAAGAAUUCAUCAUUAAGUGAUUAACAAAGGCUUCUUUACCACCUGCUCCUACAUUUAUACGGACAUUACUGACAGCUUGCCUCUUUUAGAGUAUAAAGCAACAGCAAUGUAAAGAUCUGAUAUGCUAGUGGGAUCGUUUUUUCUUUAUUUAAUACAUCUCACACAGUCAUUUGACCAAAACUGUGACCACCAAGCAUUAGAAAAUAUUCACUGCAGCUGUA